UACACUCCUGCGGGAGGCAGCAGUGGGGAAUAUUGCACAAUGGGCGCAAGCCUGAUGCAGCCAUGCCGCGUGUAUGAAGAAGGCCUUCGGGUUGUAAAGUACUUUCAGCGGGGAGGAAGGCGAUAAGGUUAAUAACCUUGUCGAUUGACGUUACCCGCAGAAGAAGCACCGGCUAACUCCGUGCCAGCAGCCGCGGUAAUACGGAGGGUGCAAGCGUUACUCGGAAUUACUGGGCGUAAAGCGCACGCAGGCGGUCUGUCAAGUCGGAUGUGAAAUCCCCGGGCUCAACCUGGGAACUGCAUUCGAAACUGGCAGGCUAGAGUCUUGUAGAGGGGGGUAGAAUUCCAGGUGUAGCGGUGAAAUGCGUAGAGAUCUGGAGGAAUACCGGUGGCGAAGGCGGCCCCCUGGACAAAGACUGACGCUCAGGUGCGAAAGCGUGGGGAGCAAACAGGAUUAGAAACCCCAGUAGUCCCAUG
This 476-nucleotide ribosomal RNA is filed under the name uncultured organism. Its description in RNAcentral is "partial 16S ribosomal RNA". It matches the Rfam family "Bacterial small subunit ribosomal RNA", at positions 332 to 799 of the family's 1533-position model. The record is from RNAcentral.